UGGUUUUAUAAGCAUUGCGCAUUUUCCCUGCUUUCACUCAUUUCGUCCUGCCACCUUGUCGAGAACUGCUUGCUUCUCCUUUGCCUUCUGCCAUGACUGAUCUAUCCACCCAGUGUAACUACCGGGCUCUUGGCUUUUACUGGGGAGUGUCUUUAAAGAGUACUGUGAUGUGAUCCAUCUUCAGAUCUCUCAGCUGUGGACACUGGAACCUACUCUUGUGGAGGAAGCAGAAUACAAAGAACAUUCCAUCAUCAUGAUGCACUGUUAUGGCGCCCUCUAUAGGCAACCCAGCUCUUCUAAUUUAAAAGUUGCUGCAUUUGUGAUGAUUUUCAUCUUGACUGGGGAUGCUCCCCAUUCUGAACACCAGCAUCAUGCAUCCUUUGCUCUGUUCUAGGCACAACAAUCAAAAGUGCUUAUUCCCAAACUGGACCUGACUUCAGCCAGAAUAUGUCACCGUGAGAUUCCCUAUGCAGAGGCCCAUGUGGCAACAAACUGAUGUGUCCUUCCAACAACCAGGCCUGAGACCUCACAAGACCCAACUGGAUCUCCCAGACAGAGCAGGCAGAACACCAUUUCUGCUGCCCCACAGCCCUCAAAGUUGUUACUCCCCGACUCUGGAAGGUUCUCAGUGACUAGAGACUGGUGCGGACCCCCAGCACAGUGUAGCCACCCCCAUGAAAACGUGGGAACCCUCAAGAGACAACUGAAAAAAUCUCUCUCACAACCAUCAUCAAGAUCCCAUUCCCUGCUGCCUCCAAGCUGGGGAGAGAACAUAAAGCUUGAGCUCGCCUCAGACCAGUGGUAUACAGCUCAGG
Molecule: long non-coding RNA, 815 nt
Filed under: Homo sapiens (human)
Lineage: Eukaryota; Metazoa; Chordata; Mammalia; Primates; Hominidae
Description: HSALNT0361862
Source: RNAcentral